CCGUAGGUGAACCUGCGGAAGGAUCAUUACCGAGUUGAUUCGGGCUCCGGCCCGAUCCUCCCACCCUUUGUGUACCUACCUCUGUUGCUUUGGCGGGCCGCGGUCCUCCGCGGCCGCCCCCCUCCCCGGGAGGGUGGCCAGCGCCCGCCAGAGGACCAUCAAACUCCAGUCAGUAAACGAUGCAAUCUGAAAAACAUUUAAUAAACUAAAACUUUCAACAACGGAUCUCUUGGUUCUGGCAUCGAUGAAGAACGCAGCGAAAUGCGAUAAGUAAUGUGAAUUGCAGAAUUCAGUGAAUCAUCGAAUCUUUGAACGCACAUUGCGCCCUUUGGUAUUCCGAAGGGCAUGCCUGUUCGAGCGUCAUUACAACCCUCAAGCUCUGCUUGGUAUUGGGCACCGUCCUUUGCGGGCGCGCCUCAAAGACCUCGGCGGUGGCGUCUUGCCUCAAGCGUAGUAGAACAUACAUCUCGCUUCGGAGCGCAGGGCGUCGCCCGCCGGACGAACCUUCUGAACUUUUCUCAAGGUUGACCUCGGAUCAGGUAGGGAUACCCGCUGAACUUAAGCAUAUCAAUAAGCGGAGGAA
RNAcentral lists this ribosomal RNA (583 nucleotides) under Botryosphaeria dothidea. RNAcentral describes it as "eukaryotic LSU rRNA". The stretch from base 210 to 363 matches the Rfam family "5.8S ribosomal RNA". Lineage: Eukaryota; Fungi; Ascomycota; Dothideomycetes; Botryosphaeriales; Botryosphaeriaceae. The record is from RNAcentral.